Long non-coding RNA from Cyprinus carpio carpio, 1454 nucleotides. The record is from Ensembl. Lineage: Eukaryota; Metazoa; Chordata; Actinopteri; Cypriniformes; Cyprinidae.
AUGACAGUUAAAGGCAGUUCAUCAUUGAAUUCAGUGAUGUCAUCUCAGUUCAGUUUAAAUAGUAUGUUUCGUCUGGUCAGAGGAGAACUGGCCCCCCAACUGAGCCUGGUUUCUCCCAAGGUUUUUUCUCCAUUCUGUCACCGAUGGAGUUUUGGUUCCUUGCCGCUGUCGCCUCUGGCUUACUUAGUUGGGGACACUUCAUUUACAGCGAUAUCGUUGACUUGAUUGCAACUUAUUGCACAGAUACUAUUUAAACUGAACUGAGAUGAUGACAUCACUGAAUUCAAUGAUGAACUGCCUUUAACUGUCAUUUUGCAUUAUUGACACACUGUUUUCCUAAUUAAUGUUGUUCAGUUGCUUUGGCGCAAUCUUUUUUGUUUAAAGCGCUAUAUUAAUAAAGGUGACUUGACUUGACUUGACUUGACUUAAUGUAGAAGAAUGCAGAUGUGCAAGAAAACUUUCUGCUUUUAUUAUUUCCAUACAGUGUAUGCCAUUUAUGCCUUAAACAAUGUUAAUGUUCAUGUUAAGUAUGUUAAAGAUACUUAAAUAUUUUUAAACACAUACAUGUUUACCUUCCUCAGUAUUGCCGCACUGUAGGAAUAGUGGUUUAAGCAAAUUAAGUUUACAGUGCAUUUUGUUGCACACUUUUUGCACACAGCAGGCUUUCAAGAAAAAAGUGAUAGAAAAAGUAAUGGGGGCCUGUGCCCCAGUAGAGCUUUAGGUCUAGCAACGCCCCUGACCCCCACCUAUAGUACCAGAUGUAUUUCUGUCUUUGCCGUGUUUUUUUUUUUUUUUUGGAAAAAUGCUUACCAAUGUUUAUUAUCAUCAUCAUCAUCAUGUUAGUGGUUAAAUGGAUCGUAGUUGAUCCCUGAUCCAUACGGAGCAAGCCCCAUGGUUCGACACGCAUGUGAUCUGUGGUUUAAUUGAAAAAUGUAACCAUAAUAGAGUAUAAGUUUAUCAUUUGUUCGUAUUUUCACAAGCAAGUGAAUUUUAAAUAAUUCCAGAGAGAAAAGGUGAAAGGAAACUGGAUUCGUUACUCACCCGCUGUUCUAUGCGCACAACUGCAACGGUGCGCGAACACCGAACUGAAUCCUCUUCUGAAUCCUCUGAACAGACACAUACACAUAAAAUUAUGACAAAAUACCCAUCUCGACAAUCAUUCAGGUAAAUGCAGUCAGCUAUGUCUCAAGUGAAUGAAAACAGCUGAGAAAGAAAUCGGAUGUGAUGUGUAUCAUUAUAUCACAUCCGUGCAUCAGAUCUUAAUCUAUAUUGACUCAUUCAUUUCGGUUUUCAGACUGCUUGUGGGCAUGUGAGGCAGGCAUUAUCACAUUGACACAGUAGCCAGUCAAUCAUAGUGAUGAAAAGAACAUGAUAGGCAGGUAUUAUAGCAUUGCCAGGAUAAUGAGCCAAUGAUCAUUUCCUCCUUUCAUGUAGCUUUUCGCCUCAUUACCCAC